GUUCAUCAGCACCAUCUAUCACCACAGCCAAAAAGGUCUCAGUGCCUAUUCCUGCUCCCUGAGCCCUGACCCAGCCCUGGCUUUCCAGCCAGCUGCAACCCUUUCGUCCACCCCACCGUCUCGUGCUUUGCCUCUCCAGAUCCUCCAGCCAAGAUCCAUCUUCAGAUCAGGCAUCCAAGUCAGAUGGAGGAGGCCAGGCCUUGGCUGUGUAAUCCAGGAGCUCCAAUCUCAGCUGUUUGCUCCCCUCUUGGGAAAGAUAUAUUUGUGUCUAUGAAGACCCCAAGUGCUACCCACGAGGGCAGAACAGAUCCAAGGAAGGGGCAUGUUCCACAGGAGGUAUCAGCCUUAUGAACUACAGUAUCAUCACAUUUAUAAACAGAAACCAGGAAAUCAUGUCCAGGGACCAGCGUACUCAUGUGCAUGUGUUCCAGAAAUUCAAGUGUGAGGGGGGACCAUCUUUCCAAGGAUGGACUCCAUUCAAGUCCUUCAUUCUUACCCCCAACAAAUCCACUGAGAAUAAUUCCAUCUGGAGAGAGAGAGAGAGCUAAGCACAGGAGUCCCUUUCUUCUUUCCAACCAACCAGGACCUCGAGGGAUGCCUGUUCUCUGCCAUCCCCCACCUGAGUUUGGGGACCUCAGACAGGGGCCUGAGCUGGUAUGAGCUUUGGCAUAAGUCACAGAGAUUUAAUACCAUAUAUCCAGCGUCUGGUCUUUCAGAAUGACAUUUUCAUUAGAGUGGAA
Molecule: long non-coding RNA, 740 nt
Filed under: Homo sapiens (human)
Lineage: Eukaryota; Metazoa; Chordata; Mammalia; Primates; Hominidae
Description: HSALNT0334209
Source: RNAcentral